AUGGGGACGCCCCGUGGUAAGGCUAACAGGGAGCGCGCGGGGUUGCAUGUGCACGUUCCCGCAUCUUGGGGCUCACAGGUCGCCAAACAGGACUCCCCCCUCAUCGGGCCCAUGGUGAAGAUUGAUGAACUAUAUUGUGAGCGGUGGCAGUACCCGCCAUUCCAGCGCCAUCGACGUUUCAAAUUCAUCAUGUACGCUCGAUUUGAACUGGUGUCCACUGACAUCGUACUUUCCAUCGCCGUGGUGAAAGCAGGGGCAAUCGAUCGUGGGUUGCCAGGAGCGUUCGCGGGUUGGCUGGGCGUUUUUUUACCGUCCUCAUUUGCACCCAGCGGCGGCGCCUCCGCUUCAGCCUCUGUUGCUGGUGGACUGACUAUUUUAUAUGCACUGAAGCUGCAACUGAGGGUAGUGCUACUCUAUGUUGGGCAGCAAUGGCACAUCAACAUUAUGUACCUGAAGCGAUCGCUACAGAAGAAAGACCUAGCAAGCGAUAACGGCGCCACGAGGAUUCGCUGCCAUGAGGAGGACCCCGACCUGUAUGAUGGCCACCGGAAGGUCACACACUUCUUUGGCUCGCUGCUCGCUCAGAUGGCUCCAUUGACGACUUCUCUAAGGUAUCUAAGAAUGCUGAUGAUUACACUCGGAGCAAGCCUUGUCGCGGCGCUGCAAGUGUUCCCCCCUCCUCCCCAAGGGCAAGGUGAAGGAAGGUGCCUGUGUGGUUCUUCUGCAGCUUGCAGCGAGGAUUGCUGUGUCAACCUACACAAGAAUGCCAAGAAGUCCUUCUCGGAGACGAUUAAGGACAUGUACCUGCACUACAACGAGAGAUCUGGGCUGCUUAUUUGUGGCUUCCAAACUUGA
Molecule: ribosomal RNA, 855 nt
Filed under: Triticum aestivum (bread wheat)
Lineage: Eukaryota; Viridiplantae; Streptophyta; Magnoliopsida; Poales; Poaceae
Description: partial small subunit ribosomal RNA
Source: RNAcentral